AGUCAAGUAAUUAAGUGCAUGUGGUGGAUGCCUUGGCAGUCAGAGGCGAAGAAAGACGUGAUAGCCUGCGAAAAGCUCCGGGGAGGCGGCAAAUAUCCUGUGAUCCGGAGAUAUCUGAAUGGGGGAACCCACUUACCAUAAGGUAGGUAUUGCAACAUGAAUACAUAGUGUUGCAAGGCGAACGAGGGGAAGUGAAACAUCUCAGUACCCUUAGGAAAAGAAAUCAAUUGAGAUUCCCUUAGUAGCGGCGAGCGAACGGGGAUUAGCCCAUUAAGUUAUGUGUGUUUUAGUGGAACGCUCUGGGAAGUGCGAACGUAGAGGGUGAUAUUCCCGUACACGAAAGGGCACACAUAAUGAUGACGAGUAGGGCGAGGCACGUGAAACCUUGUCUGAAUAUGGGGGGACCAUCCUCCAAGGCUAAAUACUCCUGACUGACCGAUAGUGAACCAGUACCGUGAGGGAAAGGCGAAAAGAACCCCUGUGAGGGGAGUGAAAUAGAUCCUGAAACCGCAUGCAUACAAGCAGUGGGAGCCGACAUGUUCGGUGACUGCGUACCUUUUGUAUAAUGGGUCAGCGACUUAUAUUCAGUAGCGAGGUUAACCGAAUAGGGGAGCCGUAGAGAAAUCGAGUCUUAAUAGGGCGUUUAGUUGCUGGGUAUAGACCCGAAACCAGGCGAUCUAUCCAUGAGCAGGUUGAAGGUUGGGUAACACUAACUGGAGGACCGAACCCACUGUCGUUGAAAAGCCAGGGGAUGACUUGUGGAUAGGGGUGAAAGGCUAAUCAAGCUCGGUGAUAGCUGGUUCUCCCCGAAAGCUAUUUAGGUAGCGCCUCGGACGAAUACCAUUGGGGGUAGAGCACUGUUUCGGCUAGGGGGUCAUCCCGACUUACCAAACCGAUGCAAACUCCGAAUACCAAUGAGUACUAUCCGGGAGACAGACUGCGGGUGCUAACGUCCGUAGUCAAGAGGAAAACAAUCCAGACCGCCAGCUAAGGCCCCAAAAUUAUAGUUAAGUGGGAAACGAUGUGGGAAGGCAUAGACAGCUAGGAGGUUGGCUUAGAAGCAGCCACCCUUUAAAGAAAGCGUAAUAGCUCACUAGUCGAGUCGGCCUGCGCGGAAGAUGUAACGGGGCUAAAACUAUGUGCCGAAGCUGCGGAUGUAACUUUUAAGUUACGUGGUAGGGGAGCGUUCUGUAAGCCGAUGAAGGUGGAUUGAGAAGUCUGCUGGAGGUAUCAGAAGUGCGAAUGCUGACGUGAGUAACGACAA
Molecule: non-coding RNA, 1264 nt
Filed under: Acinetobacter sp. CIP 102637
Lineage: Bacteria; Pseudomonadati; Pseudomonadota; Gammaproteobacteria; Moraxellales; Moraxellaceae
Description: Bacterial large subunit ribosomal RNA
Rfam family: Bacterial large subunit ribosomal RNA
Source: Rfam by way of RNAcentral